Molecule: ribosomal RNA, 630 nt
Filed under: Triticum aestivum (bread wheat)
Lineage: Eukaryota; Viridiplantae; Streptophyta; Magnoliopsida; Poales; Poaceae
Description: partial small subunit ribosomal RNA
Source: RNAcentral
GUGUCUGCUUUUUGGUGGGGAGACAAGGAAGAACAAAAAAGAAUGCAUUGGUGGGCUUGGUGGAAGAUGUGUAUUCCAAAGAAGAAUGGAGGAAUGGGGUUCAGGGACUUGAAUGCUUUUAAUUUAGCUAUGUUAGCGAAACAGAGUUGGAGGUUGAUCACUAAACCAAAUACUCUUUGUGCGAGUGUCCUUAAAGCAAACUAUUACCCAGAUGGCAAUUUACUAAAGGCGGGGCCUAAAAAGGGAUCAGCGUUUACGUGGCAGAGUAUAAUUGCUGGCCUUCGUAUCUUUAUGAGAGGUCACAUAUGGAGAGUUGGUUCUGGAGCAAGUAUUAAUAUUUGGGAGGACCAUUGGGUGCCUAGUAGUCCGAGCUGGAAGGUGAUAACUCCAAAGGGACAAUGUUUGAUGCAAACAGUGGAUGAGUUGAUUGACCCAUAUACGGGACAAUGGGAUGAGCUGCUGGUUAGAGACAACUUUCUUAGUGUGGAUGCAGAAAGAAUUUUACAGAUUCCCUUGAGCUCUAACAUGAAUUAUGAUUUUGUUGCAUGGCAGUUCACAAAAUCGUAUAUGUUUUCUGUUCGCUCAGCAUACUAUGUUGAGUGGGAACACACCAGUACGGUGCACAACUAG